Long non-coding RNA from Asparagus officinalis (garden asparagus), 828 nucleotides. RefSeq lists it as uncharacterized. The record is from RefSeq and is a predicted model, not a curated record. The transcript has 2 exons. Lineage: Eukaryota; Viridiplantae; Streptophyta; Magnoliopsida; Asparagales; Asparagaceae.
CGGAACCUGAGGUUUGGGAAGACUAAUCGAGGCUCACCCAGAAGCUGCUGAAUGGAGGACCAAGUCUAUCCGAAACUAUGAUAAACUAUUGGAGCUUUUUGCAGCUGAUAGAGCAAAUGGGGAACUUGCUGAAACUGCGGCUGAGAUACGAGAAAGGAGGAGGGAUUUUAGUGCAAGCAAUGGCUUUGAUUCUCAUACAAUUGAGGACAUCGAUGGUAUGGUUUCUCGACAUGAAAUUUUGUUAGAGAAUUUCGAUAGGAUUAAUGAUGAGGACCCAAAUGACAACAAUGAUGAACAUGUGAUUACCCCUGAAACCAAAUCAACUGCAAAUUCACAAAAGAAAACUAGAAAAUCGAAGGACGAAAUUUCUAUUGUUGAUCAGGAGGUGAUAAAGGGUAUGCAGAGGAUAGCUGAGGCAAUUGAAUCCACUGGUGAUAAAUACAUACAAGCUCUUGAACGUGCUCCAAUGAAAAGUAGUGAUGUUUGGAAUCAUUUGCUUGAACUUGGUGUUGAGACUGCUCAAAUUAAACAAGCAUAUCUUUUCCUAACUAAGCAUCCAGAGGAUCUAAAAGCUUUGCUUGGAUGUCCAUUGGAAGAGCGCAAGGAACUUCUUAUGAUGAUGUUAUCUUGAGAAUCUAUUGUUAUUUAUUUUUGUAAGUUGUAUUGCCGAAUUUGAUUAUCUGUGGCAAUUACAAACUUGUUUGUUUUUGUGUUGCUUAUGGCAAAACUUAGUAUGCAUGUGGUCAUAUUUUGCUAGAAACAUGUGCUAAUUGCAAAACUUUGAUUUUAUGAAUUAUGUUCCUUUUUUAUGUAAGUUGUUUUUGCCUA